This 1327-nucleotide ribosomal RNA is filed under the name uncultured bacterium. RNAcentral's name for it is "bacterial SSU rRNA". It matches the Rfam family "Bacterial small subunit ribosomal RNA", at positions 39 to 1387 of the family's 1533-position model. The record is from RNAcentral.
GGGGCGCGCCUAACACAUGCAAGUCGAACGAGAGAUGAGGAGCUUGCUCUUCAAAUCGAGUGGCGAACGGGUGAGUAACGCGUGAGGAACCUGCCUCAAAGAGGGGGACAACAGUUGGAAACGACUGCUAAUACCGCAUAAGCCCACGGCUCGGCAUCGAGCAGAGGGAAAAGGAGCAAUCCGCUUUGAGAUGACCUCGCGUCCGAUUAGCUAGUUGGUGAGGUAACGGCCCACCAAGGCGACGAUCGGUAGCCGGACUGAGAGGUUGAACGGCCACAUUGGGACUGAGACACGGCCCAGACUCCUACGGGAGGCAGCAGUGGGGAAUAUUGCACAAUGGGGGAAACCCUGAUGUAGCGACGCCGCGUGGAGGAAGAAGGUCUUCGGAUUGUAAACUCCUGUUGUUGAGGAAGAUAAUGACGGUACUCAACAAGGAAGUGACGGCUAACUACGUGCCAGCAGCCGCGGUAAAACGUAGGUCACAAGCGUUGUCCGGAAUUACUGGGUGUAAAGGGAGCGCAGGCGGGAGAACAAGUUGGAAGUGAAAUCCAUGGGCUCAACCCAUGAACUGCUUUCAAAACUGUUUUUCUUGAGUAGUGCAGAGGUAGGCGGAAUUCCCGGUGUAGCGGUGGAAUGCGUAGAUAUCGGGAGGAACACCAGUGGCGAAGGCGGCCUACUGGGCACCAACUGACGCUGAGGCUCGAAAGUGUGGGUAGCAAACAGGAUUAGAUACCCUGGUAGUCCACACCGUAAACGAUGAUUACUAGGUGUUGGAGGAUUGACCCCUUCAGUGCCGCAGUUAACACAAUAAGUAAUCCACCUGGGGAGUACGACCGCAAGGUUGAAACUCAAAGGAAUUGACGGGGGCCCGCACAAGCAGUGGAGUAUGUGGUUUAAUUCGACGCAACGCGAAGAACCUUACCAAGUCUUGACAUCCUGCGACGCACAUAGAAAUAUGUGUUUCCUUCGGGACGCAGAGACAGGUGGUGCAUGGUUGUCGUCAGCUCGUGUCGUGAGAUGUUGGGUUAAGUCCCGCAACGAGCGCAACCCUUAUGGUCAGUUACUACGCAAGAGGACUCUGGCCAGACUGCCGUUGACAAAACGGAGGAAGGUGGGGAUGACGUCAAAUCAUCAUGCCCUUUAUGACUUGGGCUACACACGUACUACAAUGGCGUUAAACAAAGAGAAGCAAGACCGCGAGGUGGAGCAAAACUCAGAAACAACGUCCCAGUUCGGACUGCAGGCUGCAACUCGCCUGCACGAAGUCGGAAUUGCUAGUAAUCGUGGAUCAGCAUGCCACGGUGAAUACGUUCCCGGGCCUUGUACA